Molecule: non-coding RNA, 1127 nt
Organism: Callithrix jacchus (white-tufted-ear marmoset)
Lineage: Eukaryota; Metazoa; Chordata; Mammalia; Primates; Cebidae
Source: RefSeq, a predicted model, not a curated record
UGUAUUUAAAUUAUUUCUGAAUAUUUUACUCAAAAGGGCAUGUGGGAAGUAGGUGCAUUGAAAAUAUAAAGAAAUGAACUAGUUCAAACCUUGGGAAAAUACACUACAUCUUUAACUCCAUGAAAGAAGGUGAGGCUGCAAGCAGCUAGUGCACCUUGACAGCAGCCCCUGAUGCCUAUGCCUUAUUCACCCCUCAGAAAAGGAUUCAAGUGGAGGCUGGAUUUGGAAGUUAAAAUUUUGCUGUAUUUUAUUUUACAUUACAUAUUGUUUUAGCUUUCCUUGUGAAUGUCUUUUCACUAUCCAUUUGCUUACCCUGCAUCUCUCAGCCUUGACUACACUCCAUUCUCUUGAUUAAAGAGAUUACUUUUACCCUAAAGUGUUCCCUUCAAGUUCCCUCCUCACUUGGCCACUCAGUCUUAGUUGUCUCUGUUGUCUUACAGAGAUCUACUUGAAGAAGGAAAAACGGUCACGAUUUGACUCUGCUGUCUGUGAGUCCUUGUUCCCUGCCUCCCCCGCUAACAUCGACCCAGAAUCGGCAGUGCUGAUCUCCUGGAACUUUCACUCUUUCACAGUCUGCUUUGGAAGGACUGAGCUUAGUAAGAAAACAUAGGACUGAGAAGAAUGUGAAAGGGGGCUUUUAGUAGCUUAAUAUUCACUGCUGUCUUAUGACCCUGUCAUAGGCCCACCUCAAAUGGAAGUCCCAUUCUUCCUCCUGUGUUUAGGACUGGUAUUCAGGAAGUGAUUAGAGGUCUGUUGGCUCCCUUAUCUUGCCCCUUAUGGUGUUUCUGGCUCUGCAGUUAUUAGCAUAGUGUUACUAUCAACAACCUUUACUUCAUUUACUUGUUCAAUAGCCAGGUAGGUAGAUGCUAGAUUCUAGAAAUAAAAUAUGAGUCUCAAGUGGCCCUUGUCCCCUCUUCUACUCAAAUUCUGAAUCUAGUUGGCAAGAUUCUGAAAUCAAGGCAUGUAGUCGGUGAUGAUAGAAGGGUGUAUCGAAGAAUUUUAUGAUCUAAGAGGGUGGAACCCUCAAAAUGAAAGAAAAUCAGACCCUUGUAUUACACCAUAAACAAAAGUAAAUUCAAGAGGGGUUAAAGAUUUAAACUAAGACCUAAAACCAUAAAAAAUUUUAA